Molecule: long non-coding RNA, 339 nt
Organism: Mesocricetus auratus (golden hamster)
Lineage: Eukaryota; Metazoa; Chordata; Mammalia; Rodentia; Cricetidae
Exons: 2
Source: RefSeq, a predicted model, not a curated record
GUGGAACGAAUUGUAGGAGUUGGAGGAUGAGGAGGAGUACCAUGAAAUGUCAUCUUCUGGUCAUGACAUGAGGACAGCACACGUGAACUCACAGCAACAGUGGACACCUGCACAAGCCCAUUAGUCCAGCAUGGAUGAAGAAGGAACAUAUGAAACCACACCCCAGCUGAGAAGCUAUUAACUCACAUCCUGGAAGUGAAGACCUAUUUCCUUGAGAGCCCAGUGGUCCUAGGAGGGAAGGAUUAAAAAGUUCAGGGUUCUGCUCCCUGAGUUCAAAGACAACACAGAGCAUGACUCGUGCCGAAGCUAGAGUGACUAAUAAACUGCCAAUCUGUGGUA